CAGCAGUCAAGAAUAUUAGUCAAUGCUCGCAAGAGUGAACUAGCUAACUGAAAUUUUUGAUGUGUCAUCAAAAAUAACGUAAGGGAAAAUAAUGAUAAUACCUUACUAUUAGUGUCGUCCAAGUGCUCGUGCCAGAAGACUCGGUAAGGCGAGAGACGCAAACGUUAUUCGUCUUGAUCAGGCGUAAAGGGUGUGUAGGCAGUUUUAAGUAUUCAAUAUUAAGUUUACUAUUAUAAAACUAAUAAAAACAAAAAGUUUUAUAAUUUUAUAACAAAAUCAAUUAAAGCUAGAAUCUAACAGAGGUUAAAACAAUACUUAUGGUAGGUGUACCAACCUAAGAUAAUAAGUAGAGUUUUAAGGGCGAAGGCAUUUACCCACUAAAGAUUGACGCUGAGAAACGAAGGUGAGGAAAGAAAAAAGGAUUAGAGACCCUUGUAUCCCUCACUGUCAACGAUGAAUGGUAGUUACUAGUAAGAAAUAAACUAAAGGCGAUGUUAACACGUAAACCAUUCCGCCUUGUGAGUACAACUGCAAAGUUGAAAACAAAAAAAUUAGUCGGUUUCGGAGCAAACGAAGUGAAGCAUGUUAUUUAAUUCGAUAAUCCGC
This 606-nucleotide ribosomal RNA is filed under the name Phellinus robustus. RNAcentral's name for it is "partial small subunit ribosomal RNA". It matches the Rfam family "Bacterial small subunit ribosomal RNA", at positions 349 to 962 of the family's 1533-position model. The record is from RNAcentral. Lineage: Eukaryota; Fungi; Basidiomycota; Agaricomycetes; Hymenochaetales; Hymenochaetaceae.